This 388-nucleotide long non-coding RNA is filed under the name Rattus norvegicus (Norway rat). Its description in RNAcentral is "long non-coding RNA NONRATT006481". Lineage: Eukaryota; Metazoa; Chordata; Mammalia; Rodentia; Muridae. The record is from RNAcentral.
GCCGGAGGCGUCGGCAGCCCGCGUCCGAGGCUCGCGGGCUGCGGGCCCGGGUGAGUGCAGACCCUGCGCGCGGCGGGGCUCCCGGAAGCGUCUGCGCAUCCCGCCGCAGCCGAGAUGCCUGGGCAUCGGGGCGCUCCACACCUCCCUCCGUGGGUGUGUGAAAUGCACUUAGUGAUGGAAAGAGGGCCAUUGUUUUGAAGAACACCUGGCCGAAGGUCGGACAUCAAAUAGGAAUCCAAUUAAAGCUUUUUAUGAAAGCAGGGCUUACAUACCUAGAAACUCAUCAGCACCUGCUUUUAGAACAUCACUUAACUUUGUGGAAACAGAAAGAGGUUUCAGGAAAACUAAGUACAGAAUGGCAAAUGGCGGUGGCCAUCAGAAUCAAAAG